RNAcentral lists this ribosomal RNA (955 nucleotides) under human gut metagenome. RNAcentral describes it as "bacterial LSU rRNA". It matches the Rfam family "Bacterial large subunit ribosomal RNA", at positions 1954 to 2925 of the family's 2925-position model. The record is from RNAcentral.
AGGUAGCGAAAUUCCUUGUCGGGUAAGUUCCGACCUGCACGAAUGGUGUAAUGAUUUGAGCGCUGUCUUGACGGGAGGCCUGGUGAAAUUGUACUACCGGUGAAGAUACCGGUUACCUACAGUAGGACGGAAAGACCCCAUGGAGCUUUACUGUAGCUUGGUAUUGGGUUUUGGCAUUGCAUGUAUAGGAUAGUUGGGAAACUAUGAAGAUAUGGCGCUAGCUGUAUUGGAGUUGUCGGUGGAAUACCAACCAUUCAAUGUCGAAAUUCUAAUCUGUGGUUUGUAGCCACGGAAACAGUGCUAGGUGGGCAGUUUGACUGGGGCGGUCGCCUCCGAAAGAGUAACGGAGGCGUUCAAAGGUUCUCUCAGGUUGGAUGGAAAUCAACCGCAGAGUGCAAUGGCAUAAGAGAGCUUAACUGCGAGACUGACGGGUCGAGCAGGUGCGAAAGCAGGACAUAGUGAUCCGGCGAUUCCGAAUGGAAGGGUCGUCGCUCAACGGAUAAAAGCUACCCUGGGGAUAACAGGCUGAUUUUGCCCGAGAGUCCAUAUCGACGGCAAAGUUUGGCACCUCGAUGUCGGCUCAUCGCAUCCUGGGGCUGGAGAAGGUCCCAAGGGUUGGGCUGUUCGCCCAUUAAAGCGGUACGUGAGCUGGGUUCAGAACGUCGUGAGACAGUUCGGUCCCUAUCCACUGUAGGCGUUAGAAUAUUGAGAAGAUCUGUCCUUAGUACGAGAGGACCGGGAUGGACAAACCUCUGAUGUACCAGUUGUCACGCCAGUGGCACAGCUGGGUAGUCACGUUUGGAACGGAUAACCGCUGAAAGCAUCUAAGCGGGAAACCAGCUUCAAGAUAAGUAUUCUUUAAGACUCCUUCGAGACUAGAAGGUUGAUAGGUUGGGGGUGUAAGAGCUGCGAGGCUUUUAGCUGACCAAUACUAAUAAGUCAAAGUUUUAACCUA